RNAcentral lists this ribosomal RNA (1411 nucleotides) under uncultured Bordetella sp. RNAcentral's name for it is "partial 16S-23S ribosomal RNA intergenic spacer". It matches the Rfam family "Bacterial small subunit ribosomal RNA". Lineage: Bacteria; Pseudomonadati; Pseudomonadota; Betaproteobacteria; Burkholderiales; Alcaligenaceae. The record is from RNAcentral.
AGUCGAACGGCAGCACGGACUUCGGUCUGGUGGCGAGUGGCGAACGGGUGAGUAAUGUAUCGGAACGUGCCUUAGUAGCGGGGGAUAACUACGCGAAAGCGUGGGCUAAUACCGCAUACCCUUCGGGGGAAAGCGGGGACCUUGCCCGCACCGUUGGGAUGGGCCGAUAUCGGAUUAGCUAGUUGGUGGGGUAAAUGGCUCUCACCGAGGCGACGAUCCGUAGCUGGUUUGAGAGGACGACCAGCCACAGUGGGACUGGAGACACGGCUCCAGACUCCUACGGGAGGCAGCAGUGGGAAUUUUGGACAAUGGGGAAACCCUGAUCCAGCCAUCCCGCGUGUGCGAUGAAGGCCUUCGGUUAGCACUUUUGCAGGAAAGAAACGGCACGGAUAAUACCUCCGUGCAACUGACGGUACCUGCAGAAUAAGCACUGCUAACUACGUGCCAGCAGCCGCGGUAAUACGUAGGGUGCAAGCGUUAAUCGGAAUUACUGGGCGUAAAAGCGUGCGCAGGCGGUUCGGAAAGAAAGAUGAAAUCCCAGAGCCUUAACUUUUGAACUGGUUUUAAUUACCGGAGCUAGAGGGGGUCAGGAGGGAGGUGGAAUUGCGUGUAGCAGUGAAAUGCGUAGAUAUGCGGAGGAACACUUACGGCGGUUGCAGCCUCUUCCAGAUAACACUGACGCUCAUGCACGAAAGCGUGGGGAGCAAACAGGAUUAGAUACCCUGUAGUCCACGCCCUAAACGAUGUCAACUAGCUGUUGGGGCCUUCGGGCCUGGUAGCGCAGCUAACGCGUGAAGUUGACCGCCUGGGGAGUACGGUCGCAAGAUUAAAAAAAACGGGGACUCCGCACAAGCGGUGGAUGAUGUGGAUUAAUUCGAUGCAACGCGAAAACCUUACCUACCCUUGACAUGUCUGGAAUCCCGAAGAGAUUUGGGAGGUUUGCAAGAAACGGAACACAGGUGCUGCAUGGCUGUCGUCACUGUGUCGAUGUUGGGUUAAGUCCCGCAACAGCAACUCCUUGUCAUUAGUUGCUACGAAAGGGCACUCUCAUCGAGACUACCGGUGACAAACCGGAGGAAGGUGGGGAUGACGUCAAGUCCUCAUGGCCCCGGCGGUGCAGGCUUCACACGUCAUACAAUGGUCGGGACAGAGGUCGCCAACCCGCGAGGGGGAGGCCGGUCCCAGAAACCCGAUCGUAGUCCGGAUCGCAGUCUGCAACUCCGACUGCGGAAGUUCUGAAUCGCUAGUAAUCGCGGAUCAGCAUGUCGCGGUGAAUACGUCGUUCCCGGGUCUUGUACACACCGCCCGUCACACCAUGGGAGUGGGUUUUACCAGAAGUAGUUAGCCUAACCGUAAGGAGGGCGAUUACCACGGUAGGAUUCAUGACUGGGGUGAAGUCGUAACAAGGUAA